CUCUCUGCCAGCUCUCACAGCACACCCACAGCCACUUACACUUAUCAGGUGCUAUGGGGAGAAGUCUGUUGUCCCCACUUGCCUCAAGAUGUCCACAAUUGUUCCUGUACCCAAGAAAGUGAAGAUCCACUGUUCACUUGCCUAUCCCAUCUGGACAAGAAGAAUACCUAUGUAAGAAUGCUGUUUAUUGACUACAGCUCAGCCUUCAAUACCAUAGAACCCGCCAAGCUUGUCAUUAAGCUCAGGGCCCUGGGUCUGAACCCCGCCCUGUGCAAUUGGGUCCUGGACUUCCUGACGGGCCCUCCCCCCAGGUGGUGAAGGUAGGCAACAACACCUCUACUAUGUUU
This 347-nucleotide long non-coding RNA is filed under the name Salmo salar (Atlantic salmon). Its description in RNAcentral is "lncRNA (ENSSSAG00000085146.1, ENSSSAG00000112577.1)". Lineage: Eukaryota; Metazoa; Chordata; Actinopteri; Salmoniformes; Salmonidae. The record is from RNAcentral.